AUUACCGCGGCUGCUGGCACGAAGUUAGCCGAUGCUUAUUCUCACCAUACUAUCAGCUCCCCUCACGAGGGGAGGUUUUCUCCGGUGUAAAAGCAGUUUACAACCCAUAGGGCCGUCUUCCUGCACGCGGCAUGGCUGGAUCACCCUUGCGGGCAUUGUCCAAUAUUCCUUACUGCUGCCUCCCGUAGGAGU
RNAcentral lists this ribosomal RNA (192 nucleotides) under uncultured bacterium. Its description in RNAcentral is "partial 16S ribosomal RNA". The record is from RNAcentral.